RNAcentral lists this ribosomal RNA (460 nucleotides) under uncultured bacterium. Its description in RNAcentral is "partial 16S ribosomal RNA". It matches the Rfam family "Bacterial small subunit ribosomal RNA", at positions 338 to 795 of the family's 1533-position model. The record is from RNAcentral.
CCUACGGGUGGCAGCAGUGAGGAAUAUUGGUCAAUGGACGAGAGUCUGAACCAGCCAAGUAGCGUGAAGGAUGACUGCCCUAUGGGUUGUAAACUUCUUUUAUAAAGGAAUAAAACGAGGCACGUGUGCCUUUUUGCAUGUACUUUAUGAAUAAGGAUCGGCUAACUCCGUGCCAGCAGCCGCGGUAAUACGGAGGAGCCGAGCGUUAUCCGGAUUUAUUGGGUUUAAAGGGAGCGUAGAUGGGUUGUUAAGUCAGUUGUGAAAGUUUGCGGCUCAACCGUAAAAUUGCAAUUGAUACUGGCAGUCGUGAGUACAGUUGAGGUAGGCGGAAUUCGUGGUGUAGCGGUGAAAUGCUUAGAUAUCACGAAGAACCCCGAUUGCGAAGGCAGCUUACUAAACUGUGACUGACAUUGAUGCUCGAAAGUGUGGGUAUCAAACAGGAUUAGAUACCCUUGUAGUC